GGGCCUCUAGCAUAAUCGGCUAAUGCACCUCAUCAGCACUGAGGGUUAUCCAGUUCGAGCCUGGGAGUGUCCA
RNAcentral lists this transfer RNA (73 nucleotides) under Caudoviricetes sp. Its description in RNAcentral is "tRNA-Ala". Lineage: Duplodnaviria; Heunggongvirae; Uroviricota; Caudoviricetes. The record is from RNAcentral.